Molecule: ribosomal RNA, 507 nt
Filed under: uncultured bacterium
Lineage: Bacteria
Description: partial 16S ribosomal RNA
Rfam family: Bacterial small subunit ribosomal RNA
Source: RNAcentral
GACGAACGCUGGCGGCGUGCCUAAUACAUGCAAGUCGAACGCUUCUUUCCUCCCGAGUGCUUGCACUCAAUUGGAAAGAGGAGUGGCGGACGGGUGAGUAACACGUGGGUAACCUACCCAUCAGAGGGGGAUAACACUUGGAAACAGGUGCUAAUACCGCAUAACAGUUUAUGCCGCAUGGCAUAAGAGUGAAAGGCGCUUUCGGGUGUCGCUGAUGGAUGGACCCGCGGUGCAUUAGCUAGUUGGUGAGGUAACGGCUCACCAAGGCCACGAUGCAUAGCCGACCUGAGAGGGUGAUCGGCCACACUGGGACUGCGACACGGCCCAGACUCCUACGGGAGGCAGCAGUAGGGAAUCUUCGGCAAUGGACGAAAGUCUGACCGAGCAACGCCGCGUGAGUGAAGAAGGUUUUCGGAUCGUAAAACUCUGUUGUUAGAGAAGAACAAGGACGUUAGUAACUGAACGUCCCCUGACGGUAUCUAACCAGAAAGCCACGGCUAACUACGU